Molecule: small RNA, 28 nt
Filed under: Bombyx mori (domestic silkworm)
Lineage: Eukaryota; Metazoa; Arthropoda; Insecta; Lepidoptera; Bombycidae
Description: ovarian small RNA-26127
Source: RNAcentral
UCAUCGUCAUCGAACGCCGGUGGUUGGC